AUUACUGCCAACUUGUGUCCAUGGCAGCAUGUCUACAUUAAGUCAGCGAAGGAGCUUGGUAUGUGUGUAGAUUUAUUUUUAUUCAACAAUGAAAUGCUUCUAAGGACCAGUAAUGUUAAACUGUUGGCAACUGAAAUGUAAUAAAUUGUAAUAAAUGUAAAAACAUCAGAAACUGUAGGCCUCACAGAUGUUUGCUGGCCAUGCAAACAGAAAAACACCUGAGAAGUGCACCCUUCCAGAGGAGAUGAUGACUGAAGUUAUCUAAAAGCAACAGGAUCAUCCUCAGCUUGUGCAAACAGAGGUGCACAAUGAGAUGUGAMCUGCCUGCAAGAAGAUCUGUGUCCAUUCCUCCUCUGCUACAACUAAGAAAAUCAGGAUGCACAGCUUUGAUUUUGCACAGCAGAUGCAGCAUCAGCAUCUCCUGAGCAACAGGGCCAUCUUCAGUUAUCAGCACUUCAGGACAAGAUGUUGUGUACGGCUGCACAGACGAGGCUUUUUCCUGUGAGCGUACCAGUUGAGGGUUGCUGAAACAGAUCAGAGGUCUGCUCCUGUGGAAGAGUUGGGCUCAUUCACGACUCUUUUGCUUCGGCUUCUCUUCAAGCCGACAAAAUACGUAUAAAGACAAAAAAC
Long non-coding RNA from Austrofundulus limnaeus, 630 nucleotides. RefSeq lists it as uncharacterized. The record is from RefSeq and is a predicted model, not a curated record. The transcript has 4 exons. Lineage: Eukaryota; Metazoa; Chordata; Actinopteri; Cyprinodontiformes; Rivulidae.